AUGCGGAGGGGGUUAGCGUUGUUCGGAAUUACUGGGCGUAAAGCGCACGUAGGCGGAUUGGAAAGUUGGGGGUGAAAUCCCAGGGCUCAACCCUGGAACUGCCUCCAAAACUAACAGUCUAGAGUUCGAGAGAGGUGAGUGGAAUUCCAAGUGUAGAGGUGAAAUUCGUAGAUAUUUGGAGGAACACCAGUGGCGAAGGAGGCUCACUGGCUCGAUACUGACGCUGAGGUACGAAAGCGUGGGUAGCAAACAGGAUUAGAAACCCCAGUAGUCC
This 274-nucleotide ribosomal RNA is filed under the name uncultured bacterium. RNAcentral describes it as "partial 16S ribosomal RNA". It matches the Rfam family "Bacterial small subunit ribosomal RNA", at positions 523 to 796 of the family's 1533-position model. The record is from RNAcentral.